Molecule: non-coding RNA, 1198 nt
Organism: Gasterosteus aculeatus aculeatus (three-spined stickleback)
Lineage: Eukaryota; Metazoa; Chordata; Actinopteri; Perciformes; Gasterosteidae
Source: RefSeq, a predicted model, not a curated record
AGGCGAGGCGGACGCGGACGGAGAGACGUCCUGCGCGGACACUCGAGUUGCUCGACGAGGGAAGAUACGAGCGGCGCGUCACCGGAUUCGCGGAUGACACCCUCCUUCAUUGGACUCAACUAUAAAGCGCAUGAUGCCGCCUGCCGUCCAGGGACCAAACAGCUCGUAGCUCAACGCUCUCAAGCAAAGGUUUUGGAUUUUUCAGUAGAAUGCAGAUGCUCCCGCCCCUAUUACCCUGUACGUCUCCCAGCAUCGCUCCAUUGUAACCCAGAGAUGCCACGAAAGCUCAGCAGAGGACCUACUUCCUUAGGGCAACAGUAGACCUAAACCUGCAAAACACAAUGAUGGUAAACUUCUACGCUGCCAUAAUUGAGUCCAUCCUUCUCCUUACCAUCUGGUAUGCUGCUGCCACCGCCAAGGACAAGGGCAGAGGGUUAGUGAAUUCAAAGCUGGCAAUCCUCUAUGAUUGGUAGUUCUGGCACAAAAUAUUCUUUUUGGGGUACCUUCCCUCUGUUGAAGGCCGUGAUUCAUCAGGACCAAGACUUUCCUGUCCACAGUUAUUUCAACGUACACUUAAUUCAUUCCGAAUUCCGGUUAUUGUCUUAUAUAAAGUACUAUAUUAAUGCUUAUCGUUAUGCACUGAUCCCCAAGCCAAAUUUCUUUGCAAAUGUAUUUGACAAUGAAACAAUUCUGCUUCUCACCUCUCUUAAACUCUUAAACACAGGCGCUCCAUCGGGGGCCCUUAGCUUCACCCUGUGACACUUACAACACUACUGUUAGUGGAAGAAUGGAGACCAGGUAAAACAUACCUUAUUUUUAUUCUGUAUUCCCCCUCUAGCGUCUCAGGGAUGAAAAGUCAGUUUCUACUUGUUGUCAGGAUCCCACCAGCUUCAAUCACUCCUCCCACUCGUUCACAGUCCCCUGAAUUCUAAUCACCAUCACCUGCACCUCAUCAGUUCACCUUUUAUAUGUGGCUCCUCUUCCCACACUCAGUGUCUGGUCUCAUCUCUACAGGACACCACAGACUCCAAGCUACGUUCCUGAAAUCCCUACCGGCUGAUCCAAGGGACUCUUCCAGUCCGUGACCUGGAACUCGGACUAUGUCCUGUUAACGUUCCAUCCUGAUCAUCUGCCUGCCUAUUCCUCAUAUCUCCGUCUGCUUCCAUUAUAGUGUCAAUAAACUAUUGAACUCGCCUCA